UGCCAGCCGCCGCGGUAAUACGAAGGGUGCGAGCAUUAAUCGGAUUUAUUGGGCGUAAAGAGCGCGUAGGUGGGUGAAUAAGUCAGACGUGAAAGCCUGGAGCUCAACUCCAGAAUUGCAUUUGAAACCGUUUACCUUGAGGAUAGGCGGAGAAGACGGAAUUCCACGUGUAGCGGUGAAAUGCGUAGAUAUGUGGAAGAACACCGGUGGCGAAGGCGGUCUUCUAGCUUAUUCCUGCACACUGAGGCGCGAAAGCAAGGGGAGCAAACAGGAUUAGAUA
RNAcentral lists this ribosomal RNA (280 nucleotides) under uncultured bacterium. RNAcentral describes it as "partial 16S ribosomal RNA". It matches the Rfam family "Bacterial small subunit ribosomal RNA", at positions 506 to 784 of the family's 1533-position model. The record is from RNAcentral.